CGAACGGGGGAUGUACAGCGGGAAGAUUUCGGUCGGACCAAGUGCAUGCCUAGUGGCGGACGGGUGAGUAACGCGUGGGUAACCUGCCUUACACAGGGGGAUAACACUUAGAAAUAGGUGCUAAUACCGCAUGAGCGCACAGGACCGCAUGGUCGAGUGUGAAAAACUGAGGUGGUGUAAGAUGGACCCGCGUCUGAUUAGCUGGUUGGUGAGGUAACGGCCCACCAAGGCGACGAUCAGUAGCCGGCCUGAGAGGGUGGACGGCCACAUUGGGACUGAGACACGGCCCAAACUCCUACGGGAGGCAGCAGUGGGGGAUAUUGGACAAUGGGGGGAACCCUGAUCCAGCGACGCCGCGUGAGUGAAGAAGUAUCUCGGUAUGUAAAGCUCUAUCAGCAGGGAAGAAGAAAUGACGGUACCUGAGUAAGAAGCCCCGGCUAACUACGUGCCAGCAGCCGCGGUAAUACGUAGGGGGCAAGCGUUAUCCGGAAUUACUGGGUGUAAAGGGAGCGUAGACGGUGAUGUAAGUCUGGAGUGAAAGGCGGGGGCCCAACCCCCGGACUGCUCCCGAAACUAUGUGACUGGAGUGCAGGAGAGGUGAGCGGAAUUCCUAGUGUAGCGGUGAAAUGCGUAGAUAUUUUUAGAAACACCAGUGGCGAAGGCGGCUCACUGGACUGUAACUGACGUUGAGGCUCGAA
RNAcentral lists this ribosomal RNA (698 nucleotides) under uncultured bacterium. Its description in RNAcentral is "bacterial SSU rRNA". It matches the Rfam family "Bacterial small subunit ribosomal RNA", at positions 63 to 757 of the family's 1533-position model. The record is from RNAcentral.